RNAcentral lists this long non-coding RNA (340 nucleotides) under Androctonus crassicauda. The record is from RNAcentral. Lineage: Eukaryota; Metazoa; Arthropoda; Arachnida; Scorpiones; Buthidae.
GUUUCUGUAAAUAAAUUCCUCCUGACUAACCAGCUGUUUGAGACUUUGGUGUCUAUAAAUAGAUGUCCUUUGGAUGGAUGUUUGGAUGUCCUGCAGGUGUCUACCAUGGAGUUCCUUUCUACACCAAGAUGUUUUCUUUUCUUGUAUGUUUGCAGUGUUGUCUAUUGGAUUUGGAGUGUCGUUCUGUAGACUUAAUGGUGUGAUAUUUCUAUCUGCCAAGACUAUAAUCAGUGCCGAUCCUAGAUUGUUGGCUGCCCACGUGCAAAUUAAAAUUGAUUGCCCUUUUUACAAACCUUCCUACAUUGGUUGAUAAUCAUUUUGUCUUAAAUUUGGCCACCAU